GUGCUCGCUUCGGCAGUACAUAUACUAAAAAUUGAAACAACACAGAGAAGAUUAGUGUGGCCCCUGUGCAAGGAUGACAUGCAAAGUUGUGAAGUGUUCCAUAUUUUU
RNAcentral lists this small nuclear RNA (108 nucleotides) under Dasypus novemcinctus (nine-banded armadillo). Lineage: Eukaryota; Metazoa; Chordata; Mammalia; Cingulata; Dasypodidae. The record is from RNAcentral.